UACAUAUGUAAUUUUUUUUCUCCAUUUAAUUUGCAUACCAAGUGUUCUUUUACACAUGUGUUUGAUUUUGUUUUUCUUUUAAGUGAUGAUGUUAAAGAUUUUAUGUACCUUGCAUACCUUGCAAAAUCGGGCAAUCAAACUUAUAAAGCGUGACUGCAGAAUGUAUUGAUUUGAAUCAUGUAGACCGUGUGUGGUGCCUGAUGUGGUACGUGUAGAGGUGACUGCAGUAUGGGAAGCGAAAAUGAGAAAAUCAUAGUCAUCUUAACAGGGUCAAUUGUAAUGAUUUUGCUAGGCCUGAGCUUGAUUGUAUGUGUAUUCAGAAAAAAGCAAAAGAGGAAGAACCAGAUGAGAAUAAUACAAGAAGGUCGUAUUUCAUAUAACUUCUUACUUACUACGUUAUUGGACUCCAA
Molecule: long non-coding RNA, 410 nt
Organism: Daucus carota subsp. sativus
Lineage: Eukaryota; Viridiplantae; Streptophyta; Magnoliopsida; Apiales; Apiaceae
Exons: 3
Source: RefSeq, a predicted model, not a curated record